Molecule: ribosomal RNA, 468 nt
Filed under: uncultured bacterium
Lineage: Bacteria
Description: partial 16S ribosomal RNA
Rfam family: Bacterial small subunit ribosomal RNA
Source: RNAcentral
GACGAACGCUGGCGGCGUGCUUAACACAUGCAAGUCGAACGGACAGGCGCGGCUCUUGUGUGGUGCUCGUUUGCGGAACGGGGGAGUAACACGCGAGUAACCUGUCCCUGACUUAGGGAUAACUUCUGGAAACUGGGGCUAAUACCGCAUAGGAUCUUUUGCUCCGCGUUGGUCAAAGGUAAGUUUCGGCGGUUGUGGCUGGACUCGCUGCUUAUGCGCUUGAUGGGCGAGUAGUUGCGUACCAGGGCUAUGACGGGUAGCCGGCCUGAGAGCGGGACCGGCGACAAGGGGACUGAGGUAGGGCCCAGACUGCUACGGGAGGCAGCAGGGGGGAAUAUUGCGCAAUAGGCGGACGUCUGUUGCGGCAACGCCGGGUGCGGAAUGACGGGCUUCGAGUUGUAAACAGAUUUGGACUGAAACGAACCGUGAGUGACGGUAAUGAAUCAGAAAGCACCGGCUAACUACGUG